GGGGGUAUAGCUCAGUUGGCUAGAGUGCUUGACUGGCAGUCAAGAGGUCAGGGGUUCGACUCCCCUUACCUCCACAA
RNAcentral lists this transfer RNA (77 nucleotides) under Bacteroidota bacterium. Its description in RNAcentral is "Bacteroidetes bacterium (sediment metagenome) tRNA-Ala". It matches the Rfam family "tRNA". Rfam says of the family: Transfer RNA (tRNA) molecules are approximately 80 nucleotides in length. Their secondary structure includes four short double-helical elements and three loops (D, anti-codon, and T loops). Lineage: Bacteria; Pseudomonadati; Bacteroidota. The record is from RNAcentral.